This 497-nucleotide ribosomal RNA is filed under the name uncultured bacterium. Its description in RNAcentral is "partial 16S ribosomal RNA". It matches the Rfam family "Bacterial small subunit ribosomal RNA", at positions 28 to 507 of the family's 1533-position model. The record is from RNAcentral.
GAUGAACGCUGGCGGCGUGCCUAAUACAUGCAAGUCGAGCGAACAGAUGAGGAGCUUGCUCCUCUGACGUUAGCGGCGGACGGGUGAGUAACACGUGGAUAACCUACCUAUAAGACUGGGAUAACUUCGGGAAACCGGAGCUAAUACCGGAUAAUAUAUUGAACCGCAUGGUUCAAUAGUGAAAGACGGUUUUGCUGUCACUUAUAGAUGGAUCCGCGCCGCAUUAGCUAGUUGGUAAGGUAACGGCUUACCAAGGCAACAAUGCGUAGCCGACCUGAGAGGGUGAUCGGCCACACUGGAACUGAGACACGGUCCAGACUCCUACGGGAGGCAGCAGUAGGGAAUCUUCCGCAAUGGGCGAAAGCUUGACGGAGCAACGCCGCGUGAGUGAUGAAGGUCUUCGGAUCGUAAAACUCUGUUAUUAGGGAAGAACAAAUGUGUAAGUAACUAUGCACGUCUUGACGGUACCUAAUCAGAAAGCCACGGCUAACUACGUG